This 309-nucleotide ribosomal RNA is filed under the name uncultured Micavibrio sp. RNAcentral describes it as "bacterial SSU rRNA". It matches the Rfam family "Bacterial small subunit ribosomal RNA", at positions 147 to 490 of the family's 1533-position model. The record is from RNAcentral. Lineage: Bacteria; Pseudomonadati; Bdellovibrionota; Bdellovibrionia; Bdellovibrionales; Pseudobdellovibrionaceae.
CGUCGGGAAACUGACGCUAAUACCGCAUAAUGUCUCCGGACCAAAGAUUUAUCGCCUAAGGAUUAGCCCGCGUUGGAUUAGCUAGUUGGUGAGGUAAAGGCUCACCAAGGCUACGAUCCAUAGCUGGUCUGAGAGGAUGAUCAGCCACACUGGGACUGAGACACGGCCCAGACUCCUACGGGAGGCAGCAGUGAGGAAUAUUGGACAAUGGGGGCAACCCUGAUCCAGCCAUGCCGCGUGAGUGAUGAAGGCCUUCGGGUUGUAAAGCUCUUUUAGAUGUGACGAUGAUGACGGUAACAUCAGAAAAAG